AUGCAUGUCUAAGUACAGCUUGGGAAGCAAUUCCUGGGCGAAACCGCAGACGGCUCAUUAAAUCAGUUGUGGUCUAAAUGGGCGAGAGAUAUCCUAUGGAUAACUGUGGAAAAUCCAGAGCUAAUACAUGCGAUACCAAGUCUCGACCUAACGGGCUUCGGCCUCACUAAGUCGGGAUGCUUUUAUUAGACCGAGCCACGUGCACACGAGACACGACCUUUGUCUUUGCGGAUAUUGGAAACGGUCUCUUCGGUUUGUGACGCACUAGUAAGCGCUUUAUGGUGACUCUGGAUAACACUUGAUGAGCGUGUCAUUUUUUGACACGCCGCCUACUUACGAGUGACUGACCUAUCAGCUAAAACGUAUGUUAUACGCAAACGUUGGCAGUAACGGGUAACGGGGAAUCAGAGUUUGAUUCCGGAGAGGCAGCCUGAGAAACGGCUACCACG
RNAcentral lists this ribosomal RNA (449 nucleotides) under Vibilia sp. USNM IZ 1450710. Its description in RNAcentral is "SSU rRNA". It matches the Rfam family "Eukaryotic small subunit ribosomal RNA", at positions 51 to 414 of the family's 1831-position model. Lineage: Eukaryota; Metazoa; Arthropoda; Malacostraca; Amphipoda; Vibiliidae. The record is from RNAcentral.